CGUCUUCAGGGCAGGGUGGGAUUCCCGACUGGCGGUAAAGUCCGCGAACGCUUCGGCGCCGACUUGGUGAAACUCCAAGACCAACAGUAACAGUCUGGAUAGGAGAAGAUG
This 111-nucleotide non-coding RNA is filed under the name Candidatus Pullichristensenella excrementigallinarum. Its description in RNAcentral is "FMN riboswitch (RFN element)". It matches the Rfam family "FMN riboswitch aptamer (RFN element)". Rfam says of the family: The RFN element is a highly conserved domain that is found frequently in the 5'-untranslated regions of prokaryotic mRNAs that encode for flavin mononucleotide (FMN) biosynthesis and transport proteins. The record is from RNAcentral. Lineage: Bacteria; Bacillati; Bacillota; Clostridia.